AUUGAACGCUGGCGGCAUGCCUUACACAUGCAAGUCGAACGGUAACGGGCCUUCGGGUGCCGACGAGUGGCGCACGGGUGAGUAAUACAUCGGAACGUGCCCGAUCGUGGGGGAUAACGAGGCGAAAGCUUUGCUAAUACCGCAUACGAUCUACGGAUGAAAGCAGGGGACCGCAAGGCCUUGCGCGGACGGAGCGGCCGAGGGCAGAUUAGGUAGUUGGUGGGAUAAAAGCUUACCAAGCCGACGAUCUGUAGCUGGUCUGAGAGGAUGAUCAGCCACACUGGGACUGAGACACGGCCCAGACUCCUACGGGAGGCAGCAGUGGGGAAUUUUGGACAAUGGGCGCAAGCCUGAUCCAGCCAUGCCGCGUGCAGGAUGAAGGCCUUCGGGUUGUAAACUGCUUUUGUACGGAACGAAAAGCCUUCUUUUAAUACAGGAGGGUCAUGACGGUACCGUAAGAAUAAGCACCGGCUAACUACGUG
This 482-nucleotide ribosomal RNA is filed under the name uncultured bacterium. Its description in RNAcentral is "partial 16S ribosomal RNA". It matches the Rfam family "Bacterial small subunit ribosomal RNA", at positions 30 to 507 of the family's 1533-position model. The record is from RNAcentral.